RNAcentral lists this ribosomal RNA (450 nucleotides) under Triticum aestivum (bread wheat). Its description in RNAcentral is "partial small subunit ribosomal RNA". The record is from RNAcentral. Lineage: Eukaryota; Viridiplantae; Streptophyta; Magnoliopsida; Poales; Poaceae.
AUGGCCAUGGCCAUGGCCAAGCUCGCCAUCCUCAUUCUGGCCGCCGCCAUUCUAGCUGGCACCAGCAACGGGAGACAGGGUUACCUGUACGAGCUCGAGGUGAAGACGGCGAACGACGCUCUGAGCGGCACAGAAGCGCUUGUCGCCUUCGAGUUCUACGAAUCCUCCGGCGGGGCCGGUGUGAUACGUUUGGUAGAUGGCGAUGGUGCCCUGUUCAAGAAGGGCAGCACCGACAGGCUCAUGUUCAACGAGCCACUAUCGUUCAAAACUUGCCGCCUCGGCCUCCGCCUCCUUGACACCGGUCUCCUUGACAAGGAAUGGGAGUGCGAGUACGUUCGACUCAGAAUCGAGGGCGAGCCAAGUGGCCAGUUUCCUGGCGAAGUGAUCAGGAAGUUCCGAGUGAAUCAGUGGGUUCGCCCAGGCAAGCGUGUCCAGAUCGACAUGUGUUAA